Molecule: ribosomal RNA, 402 nt
Filed under: uncultured prokaryote
Description: bacterial SSU rRNA
Rfam family: Bacterial small subunit ribosomal RNA
Source: RNAcentral
UGGGGAAUAUUGGACAAUGGGCGAAAGCCUGAUCCAGCCAUGCCGCGUGGAUGAUGAAGGCCCUAGGGUUGUAAAGUCCUUUCGAUGGGGAAGAUAAUGACGGUACCCAUAGAAGAAGCCCCGGUUAACUUCGUGCCAGCAGCCGCGGUAAUACGAAGGGGGCUAGCGUUGCUCGGAAUCACUGGGCGUAAAGCGCACGUAGGCGGUUUUCUAAGUCAGGGGUGAAAUCCCGGAGCUCAACUCCGGAACUGCCUUUGAUACUGGAGAACUUGAGUUCGGGAGAGGUGAGUGGAACUGCGAGUGUAGAGGUGAAAUUCGUAGAUAUUCGCAAGAACACCAGUGGCGAAGGCGGCUCACUGGCCCGAUACUGACGCUGAGGUGCGAAAGCGUGGGGAGCAAACA